This 30-nucleotide non-coding RNA is filed under the name Homo sapiens (human). The record is from RNAcentral. Lineage: Eukaryota; Metazoa; Chordata; Mammalia; Primates; Hominidae.
UUGGUGGCCUGCUUUUAGAUGACAGUGAUC